GACGAACGCUGGCGGCGUGCCUAAUACAUGCAAGUCGAACGCAUUUUCUUUCAGCGUAGCUUGCUACACCGAAAGAAAAUGAGUGGCGUACCGGGGAGUAACACGUGGGUAACCUGCCCAUCAGCGGGGGAUAACACGUGGAAACAGGUGCUAAUACCGCAUACCUCCAUUUACCGCAUUGUAGAUGGGUGAAAGGCUCUUUUGUGUCACUGAUGGAUGGACCGGCGGUGCAUUAGCUAGUUGGUGGGUUAACGGGCUACUAAGGGUGCGAUGCAUAGCCGGCCUGAGGGGGUGAUCGGCCACACUGGGACUGGGACACGGCCCAGACUCCUACGGGAGGGAGCAGUAGGGAAUCUUCGGCAAUGGGCGCAAGUCUGACCGGGCAACGCCGCGUGAGUGAAGAAGGUUUUCGGAUCGUAAAACUCUGUUGUUAGGGAAGAACAAGGAUGAGAGUGGAAAAUUCAUCCCUUGACGGUAUCUAACCAGAAAGCCACGGCUAACUACGUG
RNAcentral lists this ribosomal RNA (507 nucleotides) under uncultured bacterium. RNAcentral's name for it is "partial 16S ribosomal RNA". It matches the Rfam family "Bacterial small subunit ribosomal RNA", at positions 28 to 507 of the family's 1533-position model. The record is from RNAcentral.